AGGAGAAAGAAAAGAAUAACAAACAAAACAAAAUAAGGCUCAAAGUGAAAACAAAUCCUUCAAAAACAUAGUUUUCAAUUCCGGCUGGGUAGUAAAAUAAACUGGUGAGCUUUUAAAGCACUAUUAAUACCAAAGCCCCACACUGACAAAUUAAUCAAUUCCUAGGAGUGGUUCCCAGGAAUCUGUGCUUUGUUAAGGGUACCUCCAGACUAUCUUACUGUACUGCCAAGAUAGAGAACCACCAUUCUAAAUAAGUCUUUUUUUAAAAAAAA
Long non-coding RNA from Sapajus apella (tufted capuchin), 272 nucleotides. RefSeq lists it as uncharacterized. The transcript is spliced from 2 exons. NCBI's taxonomy places the organism in Eukaryota, Metazoa, Chordata, Mammalia, Primates, Cebidae. The record is from RefSeq and is a predicted model, not a curated record.